GCGAUGGGGCAGGCAAACCAGGCAAUUGCUUGGGGCCCCAAGCUGGCCUGGGGCCCCCAGACAACAACAGGUUAAGAAUUAAAUGCAGCGACAAACUGUGUGAGCCCCCUUUACAUUCUCAAAGUCAAUGAGCAAUGACACUGUUCUUAGAAUCCCCCUCAAGGGGGCCCCUCCCACCAGCUGCUGAAGGCAGGCAGACACUGUCCUGGCAGACAGCCAAGCUUUAGACGCCGGCAAAUAUGAAACUUAACCAUGAAGCGAAUUUAUCCAUCAGGAAGCCAAAAGAGAAAACAAAAGAAGGAAGAGGAACACAAAAAAAACACAAGACAGUGGUGUUUUGCUUAAAUUUCUAAGCCCUCUUCCUAAAGAUGCCUCUGAUGAAGCUGUACCAUCAACAGCAUCUCUCAUUGAUGAGAAAGACAAUGAGGAAGAAGAAGACAUGGAAGAAACUACAUCCACUGGUGCCAUGGCCUCAACAUCAACAUACAUUGAGUCUGCACUACAUCUCAGCACUGGUGUUACCUCAACAGCACAAGCAACUCUCAUUGAUGAGGAAGACAACAUGGGAGAAGAAGAUGUGGGAGGAACUACAUCCAGUGGUACCAUGGCCUCAACAUCAACACAAAUUGCAUCUCCACCACAUCUCAGCACUGGUGAUACCUUUACAGCACAAGGUACCACAAGCACUUUCAUUAUAUAUUUUUGAAUAUGGGAGUGUUUUGUUUCAGCUGUUCAAAUUUACCUUGUGUGUAUUUAUACUUACUAUGCAAUUUGCACUUUAUUUUUUAUAAUUGUUGUUAUGGGAUACUAUUGCUGUGUUUUUUUUACAUAAAGUGUGUUGGACCUAAACUGUGUGUAUAUGCUGUGGUUCUUGAAGGUGGACCGCGGCCAGAUAUGUUUUUUUUUUUGGCCGGAGGGGGGUUUGGGCAUGAGAUUUCUGGUGUGGAGGUUGGGGGGGCCCCGGUUGGUGUCUUUGCUUGGGGCCCCCAAAUACCUUGAAACGG
Long non-coding RNA from Astyanax mexicanus (Mexican tetra), 1004 nucleotides. RefSeq lists it as uncharacterized. The record is from RefSeq and is a predicted model, not a curated record. Lineage: Eukaryota; Metazoa; Chordata; Actinopteri; Characiformes; Acestrorhamphidae. The transcript has 4 exons.